RNAcentral lists this small nuclear RNA (142 nucleotides) under Microcebus murinus (gray mouse lemur). RNAcentral's name for it is "U4 spliceosomal RNA (ENSMICG00000047462.1)". It matches the Rfam family "U4 spliceosomal RNA". From Rfam's summary of the family: U4 small nuclear RNA (U4 snRNA) is a component of the major U2-dependent spliceosome. The structure of U4 snRNA from yeast and human has been reported. Lineage: Eukaryota; Metazoa; Chordata; Mammalia; Primates; Cheirogaleidae. The record is from Rfam by way of RNAcentral.
AGCUUUGUACAGUGGCAAUAUCAUAGCCAAUGAGAUUUAUCCAAGGUAAGAUCACCACUAAUUGAAAACUUUUCCCAAUACCCUGCUGUGAUGACUUGCAAAUAUAGUUAGCAUAGGCAAUUUUUAACAGUCUCUAUGGAGA